This 575-nucleotide ribosomal RNA is filed under the name uncultured bacterium. RNAcentral's name for it is "bacterial SSU rRNA". It matches the Rfam family "Bacterial small subunit ribosomal RNA", at positions 33 to 601 of the family's 1533-position model. The record is from RNAcentral.
ACGUUGGCUGUGUGCCUAAGGUAUGCUAGUCGGACGAUCCCUUUGAAUUACUUGAGACUUCGGUUGAUUGUUUUUCUUUUUGGGAUAGUGGCAAACGGGUGAGUAACAUGUGGAUUAUCUGCCCUGAAGACGGGAAUAGCUCAUCGAAAGAUGGGGUAAUACUCGAUAGCCUUACAUUCUUUUAGUAUGUAAGUAAAGCUUUUGCGCUUCAGGAGGAGUCCGCAUCCCNUCAGCUUGUUGGUGAGGUAAUGGCUCACCAAGGCUAAGACGGGUAGCUGGCGUGAGAGCGCGGUCAGCCACCAUGGGAACUGAGACACGGUCCAUACUCCUACGGGAGGCAGCAAUUAGGAAUCUUGCGCAAUGGGGGCAACCCUGACGCAGCGACACAGUGUGGAGGAGGAAGGUCUUCGAUUGUAAACUCCUUUUAUGAGGGAAGAAUAGAUGACGGUACCUCAUGAAUAAGCACCUGCUAACUACGUGCCAGAAGCAUCGGUGAUGCGUAGGGUGCGAACGUUAUCCGGAUUUAUUGGGCGUAUAGAGAAGCGUAGGUGUUUUUGUAAGUCUUUAGUUAAAUA